AUACGGAGGAUGCGAGCGUUAUCCGGAUUCAUUGGGUUUAAAGGGUGCGCAGGCGGACCGGUAAGUCGUCGGUGAAAUCCACACGCCCAACGUGUGAAGUGCCGAUGAUACUGCCGGACUGGUAUGCAGGGGGCGCGGACGGAAUGUGUCGUGUAGCGGUGAAAUGCAUAGAUAUGACACAGAACGCCGAUCGUGAAGACAGUCCGCGAACCUGUGAUAGACGCUCAAGCACGAAAGCGUGGGGAUCAAACAGGAUUAGAUACCCUGGUAGUCCACGCCGUAAACGAUGAUGACUCGUUGCCGGGCGGCGACGUUCGGCGGCCAAGCGAAAGCGAUAAGUCAUCCACCUGGGGAGUACGAUCGCAAGGUUGAAACUCAAAUGAAUUGGCGGGG
Molecule: ribosomal RNA, 393 nt
Filed under: uncultured bacterium
Lineage: Bacteria
Description: partial 16S ribosomal RNA
Rfam family: Bacterial small subunit ribosomal RNA
Source: RNAcentral